CUGCAUGCAGCCGAUGACAGCACUCCUGCUGAGACUCUGAGUGCUCUGUCUCAAACGCCCUGACGCACUGUGG
This is a small nucleolar RNA of Cebus imitator (Panamanian white-faced capuchin), 73 nucleotides long. RefSeq annotates it as small nucleolar RNA U105B. The record is from RefSeq and is a predicted model, not a curated record. The transcript has a single exon. Lineage: Eukaryota; Metazoa; Chordata; Mammalia; Primates; Cebidae.